GCGAAUGUAGCUCAGUUGGUAGAGCGCAACCUUGCCAAGGUUGAGGUCGCGGGUUCGAACCCCGUCAUUCGCU
RNAcentral lists this transfer RNA (73 nucleotides) under Cellulomonadaceae bacterium. RNAcentral's name for it is "tRNA-Gly". It matches the Rfam family "tRNA". From Rfam's summary of the family: Transfer RNA (tRNA) molecules are approximately 80 nucleotides in length. Their secondary structure includes four short double-helical elements and three loops (D, anti-codon, and T loops). The record is from RNAcentral. Lineage: Bacteria; Bacillati; Actinomycetota; Actinomycetes; Micrococcales; Cellulomonadaceae.